Molecule: long non-coding RNA, 2469 nt
Organism: Cygnus olor (mute swan)
Lineage: Eukaryota; Metazoa; Chordata; Aves; Anseriformes; Anatidae
Exons: 3
Source: RefSeq, a predicted model, not a curated record
CCAAUUAUGCACACGCUUUCCUGUAAAGGCAGCCACACCUGAUAAUUUAGAAAUAAACGCUUUCGCACACACGUGAUGGAGUUCUGCAACCCUCACGACUGUGAGCCCUCAGCCGAGAUCUCGGCCUCGCUGCAGCCUGGCACCAUGAUAGUGCCUGCGCUUCCAACGGGUUUUACACUCAGACACUUGGAAAUGCUCAGCCCUGAUGGAGUCAGGAAUGAAACAUCCUUUGCAGGAGCAUUUUUCAAGGAAAGUGAAUACUGUAUCUCAAAAGCUCACUUAGAGAGAUUACAUUAACACCAAAACUUGUCACCUGCAAAUGCAUUGUCAGCUCGGCUGCUUCUGCGUCAUUUAUUCUUACAAAAUGACAAGUGUACUAACAUCAAAGUGCUUGGUAUCACCAAGGAAGGAGGAAAAUCACAGCUUAACUUUUUUUCCCUUCCUAAAUCUCAGGCUGAGUUCUCCCAACUUGUAAAGCUGGACGUUUCCUGUGCAUCGUGGAAUAUAGGUCCCAAAGCCCACCAAGAAAGUGUAUUAUUUUCUGACUGCAGCAGCACUCUAAAUAAUCUGUGUGGAGCCACCACAGUAUUUGGUAGCAGUCUGUAAAAAUAACCCUUGAUUUCCAGACUCGAUGGGCCUGGAUCGAGUGUCCAAAAUCUGGGAAGAGACCAUGAGAAACUGCUCAGCCCCAGCCCUGAGACACGAGCAGCAGGGCCGUCCGGAGCGUGAAUAACUGGAAUUUAUAUCAGGGUGAUGGUGAUGUAAUUUGUACAGCUGGGACAUCACACGAAAGCCAAGGAAAAAUAAGAAACAACACAUUCAUAAACACAGACACACACAGAUUAGCGGGAAGUUUCACCUCAGGAAAUCAUUGUGGCUCUCUGUUCCUGUCAGUAAUGUGUCUGCAAAUGUCACCCAGCAGCAAUGCAUCACCCCGUGAGCAGCCCCAGAACACAGAGGCGACCAAAAUGGUAAUGAGAAAGAGGUUGCCAAAUACUUUUGAAAAAAGUCAGGGAUUGGACCCAUCGGGAGAAAAAUUACGCAAUAAAAUCAACAACGUGCCAAGAAAACCAAGGCCGAGGGAGGAAGCUGCCUGUGCCAGUCCUGGUCACAGAGGAGAAAGCUGUUUCCCUGGGAGAGGACACUGGAGCUGGAUUCAAUAUUUGCUUCUCCUGCUGGUCGACUUGCUUCUCUACCGAGCAUCUCAGACAACUGCUUUUGUCCAAACCAGUGUUCAGACCUGCAGCUGGACUAGGUUUUAACGGGUAUACGUGGCAUGGGAAAAUACUCGCUCUGCUCCAGAGAAGCCCUGUUUUCUUCCUUUACCUCACCUUACAGCAGAGCUCCGCUGCCUGCCCUUAGAAGAAAGACCCCUGUUAAGUUCAUUACAGACCAACGAUUAGACAGGAGAAAAAAAAAUAGGGAAAAAUCGGGAAAGUUGGGUUCAGUUCCCUGCUCUCCGUGAGCUGCUCACUGAAACAAGAGGCUCCAGGCACAAGCCAAAGGCUGCACCCUUAGGUAAAUGUAACAAAAGACAUGGAGAUUCCUGGCUAUCCUGCUAGAAAUAAGAGUCCACAAGGACCUAGCACUGCGAAACGUCUCUGGAGGUUCAGCUGCUGGUGCCCUGCUGCUGGCGGGACAGACAGUAAUAGUUAGCAACCCGAAUUCGGUGAGGCUCUGGCUAUGCAGAACAGAGGAUGUAAAUGCCAGUGCUGUGCUAUCACAGUACGGUAAAAAAAAGGGCACUCACAAACUGUUUGUGUGCCUUUGUGUAAUUCUGAAUAAUUCUGAUGAGCACCAAAAGCUGCAUAGCCUCUGGCUGUUCACUGUCUUUGACAUCUUCCUCCAAAUGCAACGCUCUAAGAAGUGUGGGGGCCAUGCUCCGAGGAGCACUGUUAUAAAAGCGCGGGGACGGCGCAGACAUCAGCAGAGUCACUUUCUGCAUCACUGCAGGACUGCGGGACUGACCUGGAGCCUUCACCCUUGUGCCUGCUCCGUAUCUGAGGCGCCUCCGGCCGCAGAGGCUCUGCUGCUAUUGCCGGCCAGUUUGCCAAUCGUGAUGGCGAUCACAAGUCUGCGAGGAAAUGAAGUCACAACAGUGACUGGAAGAACUUCAGAAAAGCCUUCCAUUAGGCAGUGGGGACUGGAAACCACUACUGAUGAGGGCUGAACUGGAAGCAGUAGAAACCCCGUAUCUCGUCACAAAUUGCCACAAUACAUGGAUUACGGACAUGGCUCUGGUUGGCGGUGCCAUGCUCCAGGUGGACCAAAGAAGGACUUGGCUCCAUGGAGUACUCAGAGUUUUAACAGGUUAACACUGGCAAGUUUGUUUAAUACACUGAGCUCAGUUCCUGUUGGCUAAUGUUAAUGUUGGCACAAUUAGGCUGAUGAAAACACUGUGCAGAUGUCCUCUGGUGAUCCAGUCCCUCCCCAACACUUGUAACUAUCAGAUAAUAAACUCUUUUUCCA